AAGUCGUAACAAGGUCUCCGUUGGUGAACCAGCGGAGGGAUCAUUACCGAGUUUACAACUCCCAAACCCAAUGUGAACGUUACCAAACUGUUGCCUCGGCGGGAUCUCUGCCCCGGGUGCGUCGCAGCCCCGGACCAAGGCGCCCGCCGGAGGACCAACCAAAACUCUUAUUGUAUACCCCCUCGCGGGUUUUUUUAUAAUCUGAGCCUUCUCGGCGCCUCUCGUAGGCGUUUCGAAAAUGAAUCAAAACUUUCAACAACGGAUCUCUUGGUUCUG
This 276-nucleotide unclassified non-coding RNA is filed under the name Trichoderma afroharzianum. RNAcentral's name for it is "partial internal transcribed spacer region". The stretch from base 1 to 46 matches the Rfam family "Eukaryotic small subunit ribosomal RNA", at positions 1786 to 1831 of the family's 1831-position model. The record is from RNAcentral. RNAcentral also lists the same sequence under 2 other names. Lineage: Eukaryota; Fungi; Ascomycota; Sordariomycetes; Hypocreales; Hypocreaceae.